RNAcentral lists this small nuclear RNA (100 nucleotides) under Carlito syrichta (Philippine tarsier). The record is from RNAcentral. Lineage: Eukaryota; Metazoa; Chordata; Mammalia; Primates; Tarsiidae.
UUGCUGUGGCAGCACAUAUGUGAAAUUUGGAACAAUACAGAGAUUAGCACAGCCCCUGUGCAAGGAUGACACGCAAAUUCAUGAAGCGCUCCCCAAAAAA